Molecule: unclassified non-coding RNA, 265 nt
Filed under: uncultured Candelabrochaete
Lineage: Eukaryota; Fungi; Basidiomycota; Agaricomycetes; Corticiales; Corticiaceae
Description: sequence contains ITS2
Source: RNAcentral
AAUAUCUCACAUCGUGCCAGGUUGACCAUGUCGUGUAUAACAACGUGUGUCUCCAGGAAUGCAUGUGGAAGUGGAGGCUCGUGCUGGAGAAAAAAGGGACCCCCCUUGUUUCAGCUCCUCUGAAAAUCAUUAGCACCGAUGUUACCAUAGUGCUGCUGUCCCUCAGUGUGAUAAUCAUGUCUGCGCUGUGGGUCGUGGUGCUGCUGUGUGUGUGCUUCUAAUGGUCCCCCUUUUGUAUGGGACAACAAACAGUUUCCUGUUUGAC